This 468-nucleotide ribosomal RNA is filed under the name uncultured bacterium. Its description in RNAcentral is "partial 16S ribosomal RNA". It matches the Rfam family "Bacterial small subunit ribosomal RNA", at positions 28 to 507 of the family's 1533-position model. The record is from RNAcentral.
GACGAACGCUGGCGGCGUGCUUAACACAUGCAAGUCGAACGGAAAGGCCCUGCUUUUGUGGGGUGCUCGAGUGGCAAACGGGUGAGCAACACGUGAGUAACCUGCCCUUGACUUUGGGAUAACUUCAGGAAACUGGGGCUAAUACCGGAUAGGAGCUCCUGCUGCAUGGUGGGGGUUGGAAAGUUUCGGCGGUUGGGGAUGGACUCGCGGCCUAUCAGCUUGUUGGUGGGGUAGUGGCUUACCAAGGCUUUGACGGGUAGCCGGCCUGAGAGGGUGACCGGCCACAUUGGGACUGAGAUACGGCCCAGACUCCUACGGGAGGCAGCAGUGGGGAAUAUUGCACAAUGGGCGGAAGCCUGAUGCAGCAACGCCGCGUGCGGGAUGACGGCCUUCGGGUUGUAAACCGCUUUCGCCUGUGACGAAGCGUGAGUGACGGUAAUGGGUAAAGAAGCACCGGCUAACUACGUG